RNAcentral lists this ribosomal RNA (404 nucleotides) under uncultured Slackia sp. RNAcentral's name for it is "bacterial SSU rRNA". It matches the Rfam family "Bacterial small subunit ribosomal RNA", at positions 338 to 753 of the family's 1533-position model. The record is from RNAcentral. Lineage: Bacteria; Bacillati; Actinomycetota; Coriobacteriia; Eggerthellales; Eggerthellaceae.
CCUACGGGAGGCUGCAGUGGGGAAUAUUGCACAAUGGGCGCAAGCCUGAUGCAGCGACGCCGCGUGAGGGAUGACGGCCUUCGGGUUGUAAACCUCUUUCAGCAGGGAAGAAGCCACAAGUGACGGUACCUGCAGAAGAAGCGCCGGCUAACUACGUGCCAGCAGCCGCGGUAAUACGUAGGGCGCAAGCGUUGUCCGGAAUUAUUGGGCGUAAAGAGCUCGUAGGCGGUUUGUCGCGUCUGCUGUGAAAGCCCGGGGCUCAACCCCGGGUCUGCAGUGGGUACGGGCAGACUAGAGUGCAGUAGGGGAGACUGGAAUUCCUGGUGUAGCGGUGAAAUGCGCAGAUAUCAGGAGGAACACCGAUGGCGAAGGCAGGUCUCUGGGCUGUUACUGACGCUGAGGAG